UGCAAGUCGAGGGGUAUAGUUCUUCGGAAUUAGAGACCGGCGCACGGGUGCGUAACGCGUAUGCAAUCUACCUUUCACAGAGGGAUAGCCCAGAGAAAUUUGGAUUAAUACCUCAUAGUAUAGUAGUUUCGCAUGAAACCACUAUUAAAGUCACAACGGUGAAAGAUGAGCAUGCGUCCCAUUAGCUAGUUGGUAAGGUAACGGCUUACCAAGGCUACGAUGGGUAGGGGUCCUGAGAGGGAGAUCCCCCACACUGGUACUGAGACACGGACCAGACUCCUACGGGAGGCAGCAGUGAGGAGUAUUGGACAAUGGGCGCAAGCCUGAUCCAGCCAUGCCGCGUGCAGGAUGACGGUCCUAUGGAUUGUAAACUGCUUUUGCACAGGAAGAAACAACGCUACGUGUAGCGUCUUGACGGUACUGUGAGAAUAAGGAUCGGCUAACUCCGUGCCAGCAGCCGCGGUAAUACGGAGGAUCCAAGCGUUAUCCGGAAUCAUUGGGUUUAAAGGGUCCGUAGGCGGUUUAGUAAGUCAGUGGUGAGAGCCCAUCGCUCAACGGUGGAACGGCCAUUGAUACUGCUAGACUUGAAUUGUUAGGAAGUAACUAGAAUAUGUAGUGUAGCGGUGAAAUGCUUAGAGAUUACAUGGAAUACCAAUUGCGAAGGCAGGUUACUACUAAUGGAUUGACGCUGAUGGACGAAAGCGUGGGUAGCGAACAGGAUUAGAUACCCUGGUAGUCCACGCCGUAAACGAUGGAUACUAGCUGUUGGGAGCGAUCUCAGUGGCUAAGCGAAAGUGAUAAGUAUCCCACCUGGGGAGUACGUUCGCAAGAAUGAAACUCAAAGGAAUUGACGGGGGCCCGCACAAGCGGUGGAGCAUGUGGUUUAAUUCGAUGAUACGCGAGGAACCUUACCAAGGCUUAAAUGUAGUUUGACCGGUUUGGAAACAGACUUUUCGCAAGACAAAUUACAA
This 971-nucleotide ribosomal RNA is filed under the name uncultured bacterium. RNAcentral's name for it is "bacterial SSU rRNA". It matches the Rfam family "Bacterial small subunit ribosomal RNA", at positions 56 to 1036 of the family's 1533-position model. The record is from RNAcentral.